Molecule: non-coding RNA, 934 nt
Organism: Pogona vitticeps (central bearded dragon)
Lineage: Eukaryota; Metazoa; Chordata; Lepidosauria; Squamata; Agamidae
Source: RefSeq, a predicted model, not a curated record
GGCGCCACCCUCGAAGAGUGUACACUACUGUACUUUCCCCCGAGUCACCGCGGGCUUCAGGUCAGAGGGCGGGGUUUCCAGGCAAGCAAGCGGGAAUGGCACCGUCAGCACCUCUCCUUGACACGAAGGAGCGCGCGCUGCUGAAAGCGGCACCCCCGACCUGCCCUGACUCUUUCCCCUCCACCUGGCCGAAACAGCCUCCGAAGAGCGGUCGGGGAGGGGGGGCCCUAGGAAAAAGAAGCGCCUGCUUCGUGUCUUCUGAGGGGGCGUGGGGGGACCUUCCGUGCUUCUGCCCCCCCCACACUCUAGGGUGGUCGCCCGUUCUGACGUUUUCGCUCCCCUUUUGUCGAAACCCUGUCCUCUCUCGCCGUCCCGCUUGGUCGGUACCUCACUUUCGUGAAGUUUUUGUGUCCAUCAGAGGCGUACUGCAGUAUCUUCCGACUCGUUGCUUGAUUUACAUUUAAGAAAGACGUUUUCUGGCAAAUUCUGUCUUGUCAAGAACUUUUGGAGGUUACAUCUAAGAGCAACUUUCCUGCCGAAAUCCAUCUUGCCAAGAACUUUUGGUCUUUUAAAUUCUUCACCCUGGUACAAGCCCAAUGAACUGGUGUUUGAGCCACAAAAGAGAAGUAAUUACAGCUACCAUAUAUUUAAGAAUGUGUUUUGGAAAGCUAUCAGUUUUGCUGUUGCUGAUCUUUAGCUUUGCCAGCCCAGAAAAGCUUUGCAGGAGACACUCGCCUAUUAAUGUAAUAGAAAAUGAAUAUUUUUCAAAUUGCUGCCCCUCAAUGGAACAAGAUGAAGGAUACACUGUAAACUGGUACAGAGAAAAAGAAGGGAAGUGGAUGGCAAUUCAAGAAGACAGCAGAACUGAUUUGAAUGGGACAUAUUUGCGGUUUUGGCCAGCUGUCCUGAAUGACACAGGAAACUAUAAUUGUUG